This is a long non-coding RNA of Acinonyx jubatus (cheetah), 1727 nucleotides long. RefSeq lists it as uncharacterized. The record is from RefSeq and is a predicted model, not a curated record. Lineage: Eukaryota; Metazoa; Chordata; Mammalia; Carnivora; Felidae. The transcript has 2 exons.
GCCAAACUAGAAAGUGACUCUAGGUCUAAGACUGGGGAUGUGGCAAAUGGAAGACAGCAUGGGUUUGAGGAGAAAUGGUAAAUUUAUGGGUCUCCACUUAGCAUGCAGUAAAACUCUUAACAGUGGGGAAAGCAGCGGCCUGGAAGGAGAAAGUUCUUGUUGCCUGUCUGUUAUUAACCAGCCUUAUAACCCUUGGUCAAGUGUUGGGUUGAACAAAACAUUUUAAAAUUGACCUCAAAAUUAGGAAGUGUGGCCUGGAUUUCUGACAUGUGACUCUGGGGUUUCAGGCAGCCCCAAUUGUUGCAGGAUUUUUUUUUUUUUUUUUACCUCAAAACCCAGGAUUCGUUGUCUCGCUGCUUUGAAGAAUGAAGAGGUGGACACGAAGUGAGCAGCAGGCAAAAGUUUAUUGGAGUAUAAGAUCAGAAAGGAAGAAUAGUAUGAAAGAAAGCUCUCCUUACAGAGAGGGAGCAUUCCAAAGUGAGUGCCCCCGGAAAAUAGGCAAGGACCUUUGUUAUAGAAGAUUCUGGUCACCCUCUCUUUCUCUUCCCCCUUGUUCCUUCUCAGGUUCUACCCUAACUGGCUUGAUAGCUCUACGAGCUGGGUUAUCCAUUGCUGAUUGGCUCAUUUCCAUUGUAUGUCUAUGACCAUACCAUUCCUUGCGGGUCAUAUGUUUUAUGGUACUGAUUUUUAGUUAGGUCUUUGAUCUAAUUCCUGAGGAAAUCCUGAGGGGGAGUAGCUGGUGUCUGUUACAUUCCAAAGAGGAACCUUAUGCCUGAGGGAGUUUGCUAAGGUCAGACACUCCCAGCAUUGUUCCAAAAUAGGUGAUUUUCCUCACCCUGAGACCUCAGGUCCUGACCUUUCCCUCUCUGCCUAUUGUAUCCCAUCUUUUCCCAAUCAUACAACUAGCCUAGCAGCAACAUUUUUCGGGUCAGAAUAAUGGAGCUUGUUAACCCAACACAGGAGCCAGCAGGCAUAGCCAGGCACUUUCUGUCUGGAGAUCGUUCCCUCAAAUGAAAGGGCCAUAUUCAGGCGUGAAAGGCUGGGAGAUCAACAACCUCUCUCCGGUCCUAUGUGCAGUGUCCCCUUCCGCAAAAGAGGGACCAUGAGGACCACCCUACUCUGAACGCUCGCCCGCGGCCCAACACAUGCUAGGGACAAGUGCAGCUGCUUCUACGGAAACCACGUGCCUGGGCAGGAGUCCCAUUCAAGAUUCUACAAUGGAUGCGGCCAAAACGCAGGUGGGAUCCUUUCCCGGGCUGCGCGCAGCAGCCCCGCCCGUGAUUAGCUACGGUGCAGACGACCCGCACUACUGCGCCUGCGCCGCGCCGAACUAGGCUGCGCCGGGGAUGCUGCGACUGGCGGGAACGGAAGACGCUCGUAAUCGGGGCGGUAGACGAGCGACGCUGAAGGCGGAAGUGGGAGAAAAAGACGCAGAGGACCUUGCUGGUGACUCGCUGGCGGAAAUGAUUGGAGGGGCACAUCUGAAAGAGAAAAGGCAGAAACCACUUUAGAUCUGUUGGCAGAUAUGAACAGAUUCACCCCCUAUAUGAAUACGAAGAGAAGAUCCCAUUGCAGCCUGUAGAAGCUGGAAAAGGCAAGAAAAUAAAUUCUCCUCUAGAGCCUCUAGAGGGAAUGCAUCUGUGUCGACACCUUGAUUUUAGUUUCGUAGACUUGUAUAGGACCUCUAACCUAUAUAACUGUAAGAUAAUAAAUUUAUGUCAUUUUAA